ACCACGACCGACAUUCUUCCUCAGUUUCUACAACGCACACUUGACAUAGCAUCUGAGGAACAGGUGACGGGCUCACUUCACCUCUAUUGAAUUUCGUGUGCGCACCUUAGUUCAAUAACCUCUUAAGUGCCGCUACCCAUGUUUGGUGCAGCAGGAUCUAAUCCUAAUCUUGAACGACAUCCGCACGAGUCAAAGCGUCAAGCCCAUCUCCUUCACGGGAACCAUUGGUGAGUGAUUUGUUCAUGACCAUCUUGUGGAUUUUAAUUAUCCAUAGUUUUGUCUUAGAUUCCUACUUACCUGGGAGUCACCGCUAUUUUUUUGAGGCAUCUGGUGAGUUUGGAUGUGUGGAUUUUCCUCCCCAUUGUGGACAUUGGAUUGAUGUAUUUUGGAUUGGUCAACUAGCAGUUCUGGACUUUUAUUUUAAACUCCAUGUAUACGGUCUUUGUUAAUAUUUUUUCCCUUUAGGAAUGACGUAUCAAUCUCUGAAUGGCCUUUUCUGUUCUCCACCAGAGCUAAUUUUUUCAUUGUUUUUUGGUGAUUCUUUAAGAAAAGUGGGAUUUGUGCAACUUCUUUUUAAUUUUGUAAAUUACAUGCAAUGAGCUGUUGAUAGGAGUGCUUCAUAUAGUUAGUUGUAAUUUUUUAAAUACGCGUUCAGCUAGAGGUUAACAUUUACAGUCUCAAUGUUGUUAACAAAAUGAAAUUUUACUUAAGCAUUUGGAUACUCAUGCAUUAAUUAUUAUUUUCGCAUCAAGGAUUCCAUACAUAUUAAUAUUUAUAGCCCAAAUGUUGUUAACAAUUUGAAAUUUUAAUCAAGCAUAUGGGUACUUAUAUGUCUAUUAUUUCUCUUUACAUCAAGGAUUUCAAUGGAGUUGCGCUUCUUCAUUUCUCAUAAUUGUUGGUGGAACUAUUCUGCUCAUCCAUAGGUAAGUGCUAAACACUAUCUCUUUCAGUGACAAUAUUUAUGCUUUGGUAAACUCUCUCUCUGAUAUAUUAAUAUUGUUGUUACAAUGUAGAUUGUUUCUGACCCCGUGACAUGGACUUUUGGGUGCUUAUACAUUUAUUAUUUUUC
Molecule: long non-coding RNA, 1069 nt
Filed under: Zea mays
Lineage: Eukaryota; Viridiplantae; Streptophyta; Magnoliopsida; Poales; Poaceae
Description: long non-coding RNA (ZMAY_LNC004178)
Source: RNAcentral